CCUACGGGUGGCAGCAGUGGGGAAUAUUGCACAAUGGGGGAAACCCUGAUGCAGCGACGCCGCGUGAGUGAAGAAGGAAUUCCGUAUUUAAAGCUCUAUCAGCAGGGAAGAAAAUGACGGUACCUGAGUAAGAAGCCGCGUCUAACUACGUGCCAGCAGCCGCAGUAAUACGUCGGGGGCAAGCGUUAUCCGGAUUUACUGGGGGUAAAGGGAGCGUAGACGGCAGUGCAAGUCUGGAGUGAAAGGCGGGGGCUCAACCCCCGGACUGCCCUGGAAACUGUACGGCUUGAGUGCAGGAGAGGUAAGUGGAAUUCCUAGUGUAGCGGUGAAAUGCGUAGAUAUUAGGAGGAACACCAGUGGCGAAGGCGGCAUACUGGACUGCAACUGACGUUGAGGCACGAAAGCGUGGGGAGCAAACAGGAUUAGAUACCCCUGUAGUC
This 440-nucleotide ribosomal RNA is filed under the name uncultured bacterium. RNAcentral's name for it is "partial 16S ribosomal RNA". It matches the Rfam family "Bacterial small subunit ribosomal RNA", at positions 338 to 795 of the family's 1533-position model. The record is from RNAcentral.